CGCGUAGGUGGUUUGUUAAGUUGGAUGUGAAAGCCCCGGGCUCAACCUGGGAACUGCAUCCAAAACUGGCAAGCUAGAGUACGGUAGAGGGUGGUGGAAUUUCCUGUGUAGCGGUGAAAUGCGUAGAUAUAGGAAAGAACACCAGUGGCGAAGGCGACCACCUGGACUGAUACUGACACUGAGGUGCGAAAGCGUGGGGAGCAAACA
RNAcentral lists this ribosomal RNA (207 nucleotides) under uncultured bacterium. RNAcentral's name for it is "partial 16S ribosomal RNA". It matches the Rfam family "Bacterial small subunit ribosomal RNA", at positions 568 to 774 of the family's 1533-position model. The record is from RNAcentral.